Peromyscus californicus insignis is the source of this 2359-nucleotide RNA transcript. It is a transcript of the gene named porcupine O-acyltransferase, with no coding region annotated. The record is from RefSeq and is a predicted model, not a curated record. Lineage: Eukaryota; Metazoa; Chordata; Mammalia; Rodentia; Cricetidae. The transcript is spliced from 14 exons.
CGCCCCGGGAUUUAAAGGGCCCGCUCCGCUGCGCCGCCCUGGGAGCCACUGCUGGUCCCGGCCUUGCGGCCUGCGGGGGAGGCUGCCCGGAGGAGGUGGCGACGGUGGCAGCAUUGCGCGUCCCCGGCCCCCAGGACCACGGCUUCCUUUCUGCCAGAUCCAUCUGUCCAUCCAUUUGUGUGGGUCCACAAUGGCCACCUUCAGCCGCCAGGAAUUUUUCCAGCAGCUACUGCAGGGCUGUCUCCUGCCUACUGUCCAACAGGGCCUUGACCAGAUCUGGCUGCUCCUUACCAUCUGCUUCGCCUGCCGCCUCCUUUGGAGGCUGGGGUUACCGUCUUACCUGAAGCAUGCAAGCACCGUGGCAGGUGGCUUCUUCAGCCUCUACCACUUCUUCCAGCUGCACAUGGUUUGGGUCGUGCUGCUGAGUCUCCUGUGCUACCUCGUGCUGUUCCUCUGCCGACACUCCUGCCACCGAGGCGUCUUCCUCUCCAUCACCAUCCUCAUCUACCUGCUCAUGGGUGAGAUGCACAUGGUGGACACCGUGACAUGGCACAAGAUGCGAGGGGCCCAGAUGAUCGUGGCCAUGAAGGCGGUGUCUCUGGGCUUCGACCUGGACCGGGGCGAGGUGGGUGCAGUGCCCUCACCUGUGGAGUUCAUGGGCUACCUCUACUUUGUGGGCACCAUCGUCUUUGGGCCCUGGAUAUCCUUCCACAGCUACCUACAGGCUGUCCAAGGCCGCCCACUGAGCCGCCGAUGGCUGAAGAAGGUGGCCCGGAGCCUGGCGCUGGCCCUGCUGUGCCUUGUACUGUCCACUUGUGUGGGCCCCUACCUCUUCCCUUACUUCAUCCCCCUCGACGGUGAUCGACUCCUUCGCAACAAGAAACGCAAAGCCAGGGGCACCAUGGUAAGGUGGCUACGAGCCUACGAGAGUGCUGUCUCCUUCCACUUCAGCAACUAUUUUGUGGGCUUUCUGUCUGAGGCCACAGCCACAUUGGCCGGGGCUGGCUUCACGGAGGAGAAGGACCACCUGGAAUGGGACCUGACAGUCUCUAGACCAUUGAAUGUGGAGCUGCCCCGGUCCAUGGUGGAAGUUGUCACAAGCUGGAACCUGCCCAUGUCUUAUUGGUUAAAUAACUAUGUUUUCAAGAAUGCUCUCCGCCUGGGGACCUUCUCAGCCGUGCUGGUCACCUAUGCUGCCAGUGCCCUCCUGCAUGGCUUCAGUUUCCAUCUGGCUGCUGUACUGCUGUCCCUGGCAUUUAUCACAUAUGUGGAACACGUCCUCCGAAAGCGCCUGGCUCAAAUCCUCAGUGCCUGCAUCUUGUCGAAGCGAUGCCUGCCAGACUGUUCACAUCGGCAUCGCUUGGUGAGAGUUCAUCAUGGGUAACCUUGUCCUCAACACUGCCCUUCCAAAAUGUCACUUCUGUCUCCAUCUUGUAUCUGUCUCCGGGUGCCCAGCCUCCUCUUCUGGUGCCUGAGCCAUCCCUAAAACCUCGCCUCUAUUCACUGGCAUCUGUUUCUCUAACAGGCAUUUAUUGAGCACCUGCUGUAUACACACCUGGCAUUCGUUCCCCCACUGAACAUUUAUUGAGCACCUGCUGGUUCUAGGUGCUGGAGACAAAGUGGUGAACAAAGCAGGCCAAAGUCCUGGCCCCGUGGGACAAAGAUUUUAAGUGGGGAGACAGUAAAGUCAGUUAAGGCUAAUACUAGUUUGUCAGGUUGUGAGUAGCGCUUAGCACAAGGGAAAGGGGAUGGGAAUUAUGGCGGUGGUGGUUUCCCUUUUUAUCGGGAAGAUCAGGAAAGCCUCCAUGGGUGAGGCAACUUGUGAGUUCUUUAAGUAAAGGAGGUAAGGGAGGGGAGCAUCUCAGGAAAAGGGGAUACUCAGUGUAAAGUCCCAUGCCAACAUGGGAAUCUUGGAGCAACCGUGAGGAGGCCAGUGUGGCUUGAGCAGAGAGUGCUGGGGAGAGGGAAAGACGGGCCCUCUAGGUCAGGGCGGCAUUUGUUUCGGUUUUGUUGUUGUUUUCAUUCUGUUUGCCAUAAGAAAUGCAGACAACCUCAUAUUUGUCUCCCACCCGGCAACGAUGCUCAUCACCAUAACCCCUGGCUCAAAGCCCCAUCAUUCUUGCUCCUCUGCCUGAACGCUCGCAUCUCCCCCAACCUGGACGCCCUCGUGGUUACCAACACUCUCGUCCUUGGAUACCUCUGAGCUCCCAUAAGAGGCUCCUUGAACCAUCUCUUUCCUAUCUCGGGGGCCUGGGGGUACGAGCCUUAAACUUGCUCUUUGGGGCCCUGGCUAUCUUCCACCUGGCCUACCUGGGCUCCCUGUUUGAUGUCGAUGUGGACGACACCACAGAGGAGCAGG